UCUCGCACCUACAGAGAGAGAGUGAAUCUAUUCACCAUCUCUUCAAGAAUGGUUUUGAAAGUGGGGAAUUGGGCACCGUUCUUAAUGAAAUUCCCAUAUCUACUUCCAUUUCUAUUUCUCCAGUUUCUUCUAUUUCUCCUUGAAUCGUACUUGUUUCAUUCCCUUUGAUAUCUUCCACUCCUCCUUCAACUUUGACCCCCAUUCCUUUUUCAGCCGCCGUGCCUAUUCCUUCUACUCCUGCUUUGGUUUCUGCCAUUCCUGUUAUUUUCACCUCUUCUACAACUCCUCCUACUACUAUUCCUUCU
Molecule: long non-coding RNA, 305 nt
Filed under: Nicotiana benthamiana
Lineage: Eukaryota; Viridiplantae; Streptophyta; Magnoliopsida; Solanales; Solanaceae
Description: long non-coding RNA (NBEN_LNC036930)
Source: RNAcentral